Rhinopithecus roxellana (golden snub-nosed monkey) is the source of this 607-nucleotide long non-coding RNA. RefSeq lists it as uncharacterized. The transcript has 3 exons. NCBI's taxonomy places the organism in Eukaryota, Metazoa, Chordata, Mammalia, Primates, Cercopithecidae. The record is from RefSeq and is a predicted model, not a curated record.
GUCUCGGCCCGUCGAAGACCCAGGCGGGCAAAGGAGUGGUACAAGGUGUGGGGAGGGGUGGAGGAAGAAGCCACCAUCCUGGCUUGGAGGGAGCAGAGCAGGAAGGGGUGCCCAUCUUGGGGCCACUCUCAGGGCUCAUGCCAGGUUUGGCCACCAUGUGAUAAGAUGACCUGCAGGUCUGGCCUUGGAUUUCUGCAGAGGUUUGCUGGAAAGGCAUCACUUAGGAGGCUGGCAGGCCAUGAGAAAGUCUCACCUGGAAGCGGUGGAAGUCCUGUGGCUUGAAGUCGUUGGGGGAGCAGCCGCACCAGUCCACGAUGUGCUUGUACUGGCACUUGCAGCCCAGCUUGCGAUUCCAGUUGGUGAUGCGCAGGUUGUUGUCCACCAUGGUGUCGCAGUGGGGGCUGUUCUCCAGGACUGUAUGGAAGAAGGACUGCAGGGGAGAGAGGGGCCUAGCCUGAGACCUCUCCCAGCCUCCCACAAAGGGACUGGGGUGGGAAAGGGUGAACUCUUGCUCUGAGUUCAUGUAAGAACUGGUUGUUUUAAAGAAGCUGGGCUGCUUCCUGUACAGCUUGCAGAACCACAAGCCAAAUAAACUUUUCUUUAUAAA